UACAGAGGUCCCGAGCGUUGUUCGGAUUCGUUGGGCGUAAAGGGUGCGUAGGUGGCUAGGUAAGUCGGAUGUGAAAUCCCGGGGCUCAACCCCGGAACUGCAUUCGAUACUGCUUGGCUAGAGUACUGGAGAGGAGAUUGGAAUUUACGGUGUAGCAGUGAAAUGCGUAGAUAUCGGAAGGAAGACCAGUGGCGAAGGCGGAUCUCUGGACAGUUACUGACACUGAGGCACGAAGGCCAGGGGAGCAAACGGG
Molecule: ribosomal RNA, 253 nt
Filed under: uncultured bacterium
Lineage: Bacteria
Description: partial 16S ribosomal RNA
Rfam family: Bacterial small subunit ribosomal RNA
Source: RNAcentral